AGUUGUGCAGUUAUAAGCUAGUUAUAAAUGUAUGCAUACCGUUGUUUACAUUUUUGUACUAUUAUGGUAAUCAUGGAAAUAAAAAUCAAAUUUUUAGAAAUAUUGUGCUUUUGUACUUAAAUGCUGAAGUUGCCCUCCUACAAGAUAACAUCACUGGGAGUGGCCCUAAGCUUAUUUGAGUUUGAGAUCACUGCUUUACAGUUAGGUGCUCAGAGAACAGCCACAGCUGUGGUUGAAUCUGUGAUUCUAUGAAUAAGCCUACAGUAGCUUUACUGUGGCCACUCUUUACUUCUCCCAUCAGUAUUAGCCAACAAAGUGCUUGCCACACAUGAUUUAACCCCCUGUGGCUCCAUGGCUUUUUGUAACAGAGACUCCACAAUACUGCUGUAAAUCAUUCAGCUAGGUUUACAUUUUAUACAGACUGAACUAAACAUCUUCUGUAUAAUAGCAUGCUGACAAAUAGCACAAGUAGUCCCAUCCUCCCUUCUCAUCCAAAAGGUUAAUUUUUAUGUAUUUGAAAGGCAAAAAAAAAAUAAAAAAUGAGAAAUACCCAUGUACAACUGCUUAACUGGACCACAGCUUUUUGCUGCUGUGCACUGCUACUGCCACCUGCUCUUGUCUGCUUUCCAGGCAAAGAGCCGAAAAUCAAGCUGUUCAACUGUGCUGCUCCUCGUCCUCACUGCUGCCCAACUCCAUGGAGGUCCCGCUGCCCAGUGCCUCAUCAGCGGUCGAGGCAGAAGCCUCUGCUGUUACUUUCCCUUACCCCUGCCCCUGGUCACCCUCCAGAUCCGCUCCACUCUUUGCCUCUGGGUCUCCCUGAGAUUCUGUGACAGGGUUGUUCCUGGAGCCAAUCCCAGCUGUCUCCGAGCAAGGGCAGGGUACACCCUGGACAAGUCGCCAGCUCAUCAGAGGGCACUCACUGAUGCCAGAGGCUGACAUGCAAGUUCACAACCGCACAUCAGGAGCAAUUUGGGGUUCAGUAUCUUGCUCAAGGACACAUCAACAUGCAUCUCAGCUCAGGUCGGAACUAUGAUUUGAACCAGCAACCUUCUGAUCACUAGCCGACCUGCUCUACCCGCUAAGCUACAGCCGCCAAAACCCAAACAAAUAAACUGAUAUUCAAAGUUACUGCAGUAAGAAAAUAAUUGGUGACCAAGCCUACGACAUAUUACAAGACAACUAUCUUAAUCCCCUUAAUCACCAUGCCGGAUAAAUGUAUCAGACCCACCUCUCCUUCUCUGGUAGACUGGACUUUCAUAGUCACUAUCAGAGAGUAACUCAGGUUCCUCCUGGGGGAAAAAACAUGUGUUCUUUGUGUUAUAAUCCAUCAAGUCAGUGACAAUGCAGAAUUAUUUGGCUGUAUAUAUAACUAUUUUUUUCAAACACAUGGAAAACUCAUAUAAAGCAGUAGAUAAACUAAUAUCACCAUAAUUAUGUAUACAUCUGCUUCUAGUACACUCAGUGUUGCCAAUUAAUGAAUCUGUGUAUUGUAAUAGAAAAUGUUAACCUGUGCAGGUUUGUGCAUUCCUGCCAUUAUAUAGAGACAGGUGGCUGAACUAAUUGAGCCAACCUCUUUACCACCCCACAGAACAUUGCUAGAGACAUUUGGAUUGUGUUAAUCCUUAUGGAUUUACGGCUCAAAUGUACAGCAGGCUUGAUUGUGUUCUGAGCUUAGUGGGUACAACUACUACUUUGUUCUCAUCUAAUCAAAUCAAAUUCGACUUUCUUUCAAGCUUUUUUUGCUUUCUUUCUGUAUAUGUAUUAAGAACAAAGCUGGUGUCAGGACAUGAUAUGUUUAAAAAAAACAGCUUGAGCACAUCACCCCUCUUAAAACAUGCUUUUGUUGGUGUGUUUCUGUGUACGUGUAAAAUGUAUCUGCAGAAUCCUACAUGUAAAGAUUCUGUUGCAUGUUUGUCUCAGCAGGUAUAGUGCUGAGGUUGAGUGGACCCCAUACUUCACUACCGUAGAGCGCAAUGGGCUGGAUGACACUAUCAAAUAUUUUAAGCCAGAUUUGACUGGAAUUUGGAAAUUAUACAGUUGUCUCUUAAUUGCAUGUAAGGCUCUUUGAGCUUUUUCUAUAAGUACAUUCGCUGCCAUGUUGAAACUCCCUGAUGCUGUGAUGGUUAUACCAAGGUAUGUAUAAGGUAGCUAUAUUCAAUGAUAUGAUUAUUUAUGGUAAAUUGGUGUUUGUUCUCCUGACAUCUGGAGCGUGUAUGAAAGAUCACAACAUUAGUUUUCUUCAUGUUUACUGCCAGGGCUCCGUUCUGACAGUACUUCUCACUAUGUCUAGCUGUUGCUGUAGUGCUUGUUCAGAAGGAGACAGUAGAACAAGGUCAUCAGCAUAAAACAGAGACUUUACCUCUCUGUCUAGGAGGGAGAGGCCAGGAGCAGCACAUUGAUCCAACGCAACAGCAAGUCUCAUUUAUUUGCGUUAAAUAAAGUCGGACUUGUAUUGCAGCCCUGGCAUACACCUCCCCUCUGGGUGAAGCAUUCGGUUUGUUUGUCUCCAAUUUUAACAGCACACAUAUUAUCCAAAUACACUGAUUUAACCAAAUCACACAUUUUGCCCCCUAUACCGCAGUGUAGGAGCCUGUAAUAGAACCCUUCAUGAUAAAUAAAGUCAAAAGCUUUCUAUAAAUCAAUGAAACAAGUGAAUAUUUUAUCAUUUUUUGUUUGGUGUACAUGUUUGUUGAUUAAAGUGUGAGGGGUAUAUACAUGGUCAUGGUGUCAUGUUUUGGGAGGUAGCCAAUUUGACUUUUACUCAAGAUGAGGAGAGUGUUCCUCAAGGAAAUCUAGUAUUCUUUUCUUUUGUAUACUACAGAAUAAUUUACCCAGACAGCUGCUGACACAGAUGCCAUGGUAGUUAUUAGCGUCUGAUUUGUCCCCACUCUUAUGAAUGGGGGAGAUGAGCCCUUUGCACCAGAUGUCAGGAAAACAUCCUGACUGUAGUACAGUAUUGAACAACUUCAACACUGCACCCUGCUUCUCUGGGGUGCUGCAUUUGAGCAUUUUGUUUUUAAUGCUGUCUGGACCACAAGCUUUUCUUGGCUGGUGUGGUCAGUUCUUCCCAAGUAAUUGGGAAAUCAAGCGGGUUUUGAUUGUCUUUAAUUGUUUCUUCUAAUGUUUGCAGGUUUCUUUUGUAUAAUACAUUGAUCUGAAUUGAUUUGAUUUACUGGUAUGUCUCCAGAUGUCACCAUUUUGGAUGGGUAAUGUCUGUUGCUUUGUAUUGAACUUGUUCCAUAUAUCCCAGAACUGAUUUUGAUUAAUAGCAUUCUCAAUAUCUUCAAGUGUUACGUGGGUAUAAUUUUGUUUUUUGUUCCUAAUUGUACAUUUAUACCUCUUUAAAAUGUCAUUAUAUCUAAUGCGUAAGGCUGGUUGGUGAUGUUUUUCAUUUGUUAUUUUUCUCAGGUCUUUUCUGAUGGUCUUGCAUUCUUGAUCAAACCAUUUGUCAACGUUUUGCCUUUUAACAGGCUUCCAUGUUUGUUUUAUGAGAUCAGCUUUUUAUCUAAUGGCAAAGAUCUCCUUUAUACCACACCAAGAUCCCUCCCGAUGUUCUGCCCUUGUGUAUGUUUUUUUUUUUUUUUUUAAUUUUACAGAGGGCACCAAGACUUCAUUAUAUCCUGGAGGACA
Long non-coding RNA from Acanthopagrus latus (yellowfin seabream), 3630 nucleotides. RefSeq lists it as uncharacterized. The transcript has 2 exons. The record is from RefSeq and is a predicted model, not a curated record. NCBI's taxonomy places the organism in Eukaryota, Metazoa, Chordata, Actinopteri, Spariformes, Sparidae.